CCUACGUGAGGCAGCAGUGGGGAAUAUUGCGCAAUGGGCGAAAGCCUGACGCAGCGACGCCGCGUGAGGGAUGAAGGUCUUCUGAUCGUAAACCUCUGUCAGCAGGGAAGAACGGUCACUGUGCUAAUCAGCAGUGAAUUGACGGUACCUGCAACGGAAGCACCGGCUAACUCCGUGCCAGCAGCCGCGGUAAUCCGGAGGGUGCGAGCGUUAAUCGGAAUUACUGGGCGUAAAGCGCUCGUAGGCGGUAUGUCAAGUCAAGGGUGAAAUCCCCGCGCUCAACGUGGGAACUGCCUUUGAAACUGGCAAACUGGAGUGGGUGAGAGGAUAGUGGAAUUCCAGGUGUAGGAGUGAAAUACGUAGAUAUCUGGAGGAACAUCAGUGGCGAAGGCGACUAUCUGGCACAUAACUGACGCUGAGGAGCGAAAGCGUGGGUAGCAAACAGGAUUAGAUACCCCAGUAGUC
This 465-nucleotide ribosomal RNA is filed under the name uncultured bacterium. Its description in RNAcentral is "partial 16S ribosomal RNA". It matches the Rfam family "Bacterial small subunit ribosomal RNA", at positions 338 to 795 of the family's 1533-position model. The record is from RNAcentral.